This 94-nucleotide non-coding RNA is filed under the name Paenibacillus sp. Its description in RNAcentral is "c-di-GMP sequence". It matches the Rfam family "c-di-GMP-I riboswitch aptamer". Rfam says of the family: GEMM was predicted in a large-scale screen for bacterial structured RNA regulatory elements. Genes associated with GEMM are involved in a diverse array of functions, including chemotaxis regulation, signal transduction, secretion and chitin. Lineage: Bacteria; Bacillati; Bacillota; Bacilli; Caryophanales; Paenibacillaceae. The record is from RNAcentral. RNAcentral also lists the same sequence under 1 other name.
AUUUAAUAAAGGCAAACUAUCUGAAAGGAUGGGACGCAAAGCAAUGGGCCUAAAGAUGCAGUAACCAUGCAUCCACGGCUGCCAGGCUGCCACC